RNAcentral lists this transfer RNA (64 nucleotides) under Xyleborinus saxesenii. RNAcentral's name for it is "tRNA-Cys". Lineage: Eukaryota; Metazoa; Arthropoda; Insecta; Coleoptera; Curculionidae. The record is from RNAcentral.
AAUUAUAUAGUCAAUAUAUGACGUUGAAUUGCAAAUUCAAGGGAGAAAUGAUUUUCUAUAAUUU